RNAcentral lists this ribosomal RNA (468 nucleotides) under uncultured bacterium. RNAcentral's name for it is "partial 16S ribosomal RNA". It matches the Rfam family "Bacterial small subunit ribosomal RNA", at positions 28 to 507 of the family's 1533-position model. The record is from RNAcentral.
GACGAACGCUGGCGGCGUGCUUAACACAUGCAAGUCGAACGGAAAGGCCCUGCUUUUGUGGGGUGCUCGAGUGGCGAACGGGUGAGUAACACGUGAGUAACCUGCCCUUGACUUUGGGAUAACUUCAGGUAACUGGGGCUAAUACCGGAUAGGAGCUCCUGCUGCAUGGUGGGGGUUGGAAAGUUUCGGCGGUUGGGGAUGGACUCGCGGCUUAUCAGCUUGUUGGUGGGGUAGUGGCUUACCAAGGCUUUGACGGGUAGCCGGCCUGUGAGGGUGACCGGCCACAAUGGGACUGAGAUACGGCCCAGACUCCUACGGGGGGCAGCAGUGGGGAAUAUUGCACAAUGGGCGGAAGCCUGAUGCAGCGGCGCCGCGUGCGGGAUGACGGCCCUCGGGUUGUAAACCGCUUUCGCCUGUGACGAAGCGUGAGUGACGGUAAUGGGUAAAGAAGCACCGGCUAACUACGUG